CCUACGGGUGGCUGCAGUAGGGAAUAUUGGACAAUGGGCGCAAGCCUGAUCCAGCCAUGCCGCGUGAGUGAAGAAGGCCCUCGGGUUGUAAAGCUCUUUUGUCCGGAAAGAAAAGCAUUCGGUUAAUACCCGGGUGUUCUGACGGUACCGGAAGAAUAAGCACCGGCUAACUUCGUGCCAGCAGCCGCGGUAAUACGAAGGGUGCAAGCGUUACUUGAAGCUACUGUGGGUAAAUCGUGCGGUGGUGUGUGAAAGCCCUGGGCUCAACCUGGGAAUUGCAUUGGAUACUGGCAAGCUAGAGUGCGGCAGAGGGUAGUGGAAUUCCUGGUGUAGCAGUGAAAUGCGUAGAGAUCAGGAGGAACAUCCGUGGCGAAGGCGACUGCCUGGGCCAGCACUGACACUGAGGCACGAAAGCGUGGGGAGCAAACAGGAUUAGAUACCCGGGUAGUC
RNAcentral lists this ribosomal RNA (450 nucleotides) under uncultured bacterium. Its description in RNAcentral is "partial 16S ribosomal RNA". It matches the Rfam family "Bacterial small subunit ribosomal RNA", at positions 338 to 795 of the family's 1533-position model. The record is from RNAcentral.